Molecule: transfer RNA, 94 nt
Filed under: Klebsiella pneumoniae
Lineage: Bacteria; Pseudomonadati; Pseudomonadota; Gammaproteobacteria; Enterobacterales; Enterobacteriaceae
Description: tRNA-Ser(gga)
Source: RNAcentral
GAUCAGCUGGCGCAAGGGGGCGAGCUGGUGCUGGAGACGCUGGUGGUUGAAGGAGAUGAAAAUACGGUGCUGGUUCCGGGCGACCGCUAUGCGC